AGUGCUAUACUAUGGCUGAUGAAUGCUUUGGGAGCACUAGGUUGCAGGUUCGAAUCCUGUCGCCCCGACCA
Molecule: transfer RNA, 71 nt
Filed under: Prochlorococcus marinus str. MU1404
Lineage: Bacteria; Bacillati; Cyanobacteriota; Cyanophyceae; Synechococcales; Prochlorococcaceae
Description: tRNA-Pro
Source: RNAcentral